UGAUUUAACUUUUUUUGAAAAGUUUUCCUUUCUAAUAUUUUGCAGGCUUUAAUGCUAAAUUGAUCUGCAUACCUUAGUGGCCGUCAGAUAUGACCCGACGCUCCGCAUGUGUGGCGCGUAUUUCAAAAACAGGAAGGCUCAUAGGUUGCUUAAACCAUCCUAAUUGGGAGGGAAAAUAAAGAUCAAAAGAAGCGGCAAGGCGGCAAAAAAGGCCUUGAUAAAACACCUCUAACCUCCGGCCGUUCAAUCGAUGAGUCUAUAGGAACACCCGGACAAGAACUCCAUCGGCUUUCCAUCCAGGUAUACACAUGCCUGCGAUCUGAGAGAUUUGGAACCUUGAUGUAGAUGUUAUCAGUUAAGCACUUGAUUACUUGGUUUUUCAAAUGGCAACGCCAACAUUUUGCAUAUUUUCUAUUUCAAGUGAAGUUCAAUUGGCCACGUCAAUAAAUUCUCUAAAGAAGCAGCAUAUUCCUUCCUGCUGAUUUCGGGAUACUGUGUUUGAAUGGUGUUCUUAAGGAUUCCCUAUUAGUCUCUGUUGAAUUUGACAGACCUGGGGGUUUGGCAAAUAAAUGUACUGGAACAGAUUGAAAAUUUCACUCAUGUAGCUGUCAAGUGAGGAGGCAUCACUUGCAGUAAGGUUAUAACAUUAAAAGGUAGUAAUAGAUGUAUCAUAAUAUUUUAUCAUCGAUCACUUUUGUUUGCUAACAUUUUGGUGUGAUAGUAAACUGCUAAUAUUAGAUUUGUGAGGCUGAGGCAGGGCAAAGUUAUUUCUCCUAGGUCUUGAAGUUUCAAAUGUGAGGUUGUUUGGAGCUCAUAUGUGCCGUUAUACAUUGCAAAGUUAUGUUACUUUUAUUUGUAGCUAAAGUUACAACUGCAGUGCUUAUAGCUAGACUUUAAAGUUUAAGUCAAAGCAUCUAAGAAAGCAGAAUAGUAGAGAGUUGGAAUUAUCUGGUACCUCUCCAGAAACAGUGUUGAAUACCUUCCGUUGUCAAACCUGAUAUACCAAAAAAGAUAAAAUAAUGAAUGUCAGUGGUUGACUUUGUGCUAUUUGUUAGGACUAUGUUCUCGAAUUAUGCUUACCCUUAAAUAUUGUUGGUAUUGAUGUUCCGAAGUAUACAGUCCGUCUUGGUAGGUUCCAUAUCCAAGAUCUAGGAACAUCAAUUGGGUUGAGGCUAGAAUCAUGGUCCGCAAACACCUUCAUAAAGCUUAUUUUGUUAGUAUUAUCCAUCUGCUGUUAGUUCUGAGUAGAGUAACCUGAGUUUAGAAAAUCUACCUCAUUGACUUGGAAAUAUGUACCAUUGAGGGGAAAACUCCCUCUCAUUGCUGUUCGACAUGGUAUCUGUUGAUGAUGUGUGGUGAAUAUCGGUUAGUUUUUGGCUUAGAUUGAUAUUAUCAAUCCUUAUAGGAAUGAUGCCAAACUAAUGAAAUGUUUUUGACAAGUAUUCUCACCAAGAGAGUUCCUCGAACAAUUUGUGAAUUUGCUUCUCGUAUACUAUUGCAAGAGAAACAUGUCUUCUCAUCACACAAUUUGCCAUCUUCUUGCAAGUUACAAUUAUUUUCAGGUGGUUGAAUGGAGUUUGCUGUUUCACCUAAUGGAAGCAAUUGAUCAGAUUUGUAUAGAACUAUUAUUAUGAUAGAUAAGUUUAUUGCUUGCAGUGACAGAACUUUUUGAAUUUUCUGUGCAUAGGGUGCUAGUGAACUAAUAUAGGCUGAACAGUUGGAAUGCUCGACCUCUGCAUAUCAUAUUGUUGAAACAACUUGCCUGCUAACCUUUCAGAGAUGAUGAAAUAGAAGAAAUUUGAUGGCUUCAUAUACUUACAGGCACAGGUCCAGUAUGAAGGGCUUAUGUGGGAUUGGAAAAGUGUCAAGGUGUAAAGAGGGUGGCCAUAUUGGAUGCUGCUCCCUGUCUGUACAAGGGUCACUCAUCUUCUUUCAGUGUCUUUCUUUUUUUUCCUUAGUAAUUUAGCUCAUUGAACUGAUUUCAACAGGUUUGCUGAAAUUGCAACUUUGAGACUAGUUCUAAAUAUGGUUAUGAUGGGUUUAAGUCAAAUAAUCCUAAAUUAUGUUCCUCUAUUCAACACUAACAUAUGCGGGGAUCCUGAGAACUAAUCCCAGAUAAACCUAUUAUUGUUUAAGAAAGAUGCCAAGCGUAUGUGUGAUAAGAUGCAUGAUUUUCUUUUCCUAUCUCUCCCUUAAACAACUCAUUUUUUACUAAGCUGAUGGCUAUUUUAUAACUAGCAGAUGAUUAAGUAGCGAGUCAGGCCUGGAAGCCAGGUUUGGACUCUUCUUUGUAUGCAAGGCACAUUUAUUAUGCCCUGGAUUGGCUUGUUUGAUCACUGAGUCAAGCUUGGGCAGGCUUUUAGACUCUGGCAAACCUAAAACACCUGCAGUUAUGGGUUGCUUUAGUUGUGUUCCCAACUGUGCAGCAAGGAACUUGUCAUGGCAGGCUAGUUUAUAUUUACUUACCUGGUGUCCAUAUUGCGAGGAGGUAUGAGCAUGGGUCAUCAGGCUCUCGUCUAUCCAACUGAAAUAGAAGCAAUCAAAAUUCAUUAGAAAUAAUUUUUGUUCAUGGAGGGAAAACAAUUCUGUUCAAGUCAAUCCAAGAUUAACUAACCCCUUCCAGAAGAGGGUGCGAAUCUGGAAGUUCAUACCUGCAUGUGGUGAAGUAAGAAACAAAAUUUAGUAAACUAUAGGGCAAUGUUGAAACAAUUUGGUUUCAGUGCCUGUCAGUGGAGAUUUGUCUGAAUAUAAGACAAUUUUUUGGCAAGCUGCGUUGUUUUUCUUGGUUUGGAAUAAUGUAUUUGUGGACAGCAGCUAAUUCUUCCCAUAUGUUCCAGAAUGUAAGCUUCUUGCCAAAAGAAGUUUCAAUUUGUGAAGUGUUAAACAUAGUAGACAUUCGCAGUUUGCAAAUUUCUUUCAUAGAACAGUUCAAUAAGGGACAUGACUACUUACACUUGGUGCUCUGUUCGCAGCCGACUCACAUUUUUAAGCUUGGGUGUAGGAAUAGAAGCAGCUUCUGCAGUCAAAGCAACCAAGGCUUUCGACAUAUCACAUUCUUGAAGUUCCAUAUUGUUUUGCAUGUAGUUCUGCAAAUUCUGAGUGAACUCUUCAAUGUUAAGCUUGAUAGUAGGAAUUUCAUCAGGAUCCUCACAGAAGGUAUCCUCCAUAUCAUUUUCUGUUACUUGUAUGCGCUCUGGUUCUGGUGAUGAUGGCUCUUCAACAAUAGGUUCACAACUGUUGACUCCAUAUUGUGCUUCUGAUUGCUGAAUACUUUUUGACAAUUGAUUUUCUUCUGAUUGUUCAGUAGCCUGAGGUAGAGGAAGUGGCAGUUGACCAACCAUUGCAGCAGGAUUUGGUUCAUUUGUUCUGUUUUCAGUUGCACUCACCAUACCCUUUUCCUCUGGUCCAGGCAAGGCUAGUCUGGCACUGCACUUAACAUGAGGAUUCAUUGCUGUAGACUGCUUCCCUUUCUUCAUCAAGCUCAGAGUCAUGGAGCGUCAUUGAAGUUUGGUCACAAAUUGAUUGAUUGGACAUCUCUUCGUUCCAUUUUAAGGUGUCUUCUAGAUCUGGCAUGCACACUAUUGGUUUAUCAAUUACUGAGCCUGUUCUUUCUUCAUAGCAUUGUUCAUUAUGGCUCUGUGACUUCAGAGGAAAGUGUGCAGCAAGUGACAUAAAUGCUGAACUGCAGAAGAUUAACAGGUCAACCUGAGGCCGUGAGCGUCGUUUCUUAAUAAGUGAAUCGGUGUAGGGUACAACAGUCCCGUCGCUUCUAUAAAGGACCAGUGCAUUCUGCUGUUCAUUUCCAGCACUAUAAGGAACAAGUGCAUUCUGUUCUAUGUAUGUGAAGUUGCUACCUUCUCUGUUAAUGUCUAGAUGCUGUAAAUGCUCGGCUAUUGCAUCAAUAGUAGACAUCUGUUCCCGUAUUACUUCUGGAAGAGCAACUGCAUCAAAUGGCUACAUAAAUGAGAAGCAUUUGAUAUGGUGGAUUCCUUUUGAAAAUGAUUAUAUGUUAAACAUGAUUACCUAAUGAGUUUGCUGAGAAUAGGUUCUGAUUGUAUAAGAUGAUUUUUCCAUGUGCUUGUUCCACAUUUGUACUGGAGGAUGCAGAACUAACAAGGAGUCUCUUCUUGGUUCUCUUCUUUCUAGUCAAAGUUCCGCGCAUUUCUGCAACUAAAGCAUCUACACAUGCAUCGGGUCCAUUUAUGUCCCGAACCUGCUGCACAUCAUAUGCUCGUCUGCUUGUGGAACUUAGAUGCAUUGCUCCCUGUGCAAUUUUGGUCAGUGAAGCCAAGUCUCGAGUCCGAGUAUGGCCUCUGGAUCUCUUUUUAGUUGACCUCUCUGUUUGAGCUAAGACACAGCCGGAAGUUUCAUUUUUAAGCUGACAACCAUUUGUCUCUCCAAAUGCACCUGGAAUUCUAUCAGCAUUAGAAUGAGAAGCAGGAAGCAAGCAAUCAACUAUUGAUGUAGGAGGAUCUCCUCUGUUAUUCUUCUGUGGGCCUGGUAUAUCAAGUCUCAAUGUGCCACUUAGAGUGGUCGAACAAGAUAUGCUGCAUGUGGUGGCGAUAUGUGCCUUUUCAGUCCUCCUCUUCUUGAAAUUGCUUGGAACUUGGAACUCAGAUGUUGCCUGAUAUUGAGGUAAAGCAUUACAGAAAAUUCCAGUUAGAUUUGUGUUGCAGGUGCCUGGCUGUUGAAUGCAACUGAAAACCUUCCUCUUUGAUCCGUUUGAUUGUCCUUCCAUGGUCAAAGUUGUGUAUUUGCCGCAGAUGGAGUCAUUUGGGUUGAUUGGUGGCAAUUGAUUGUCAGUUUGCAACAUGCUUUGUGCAGCAUUCUGCUGUACACUGUGAGUAGUCACCUGGCCUUCUCUUUCAGCAGGGCUCUCUUGGGAAUUGUUGUUCCUUAUUCUCCUUGCAGGGUCAAUGUUUGCAUAUACUGGUGUGCUUGGUGCCUGUUUUUCAGGCAAUGCGAGGCUGUCCUUCAGUGUAAAAGUUCAAGGACCUCCUGCAUGACUUCUUGGCAGGCUCAACUGAUAUUGUACUGACAGACUUUCCAGUUGCUUCCACUGGUGGAGUUGAGAUUUUGUUGAGUGGUUUUCGUCGCACAUACUUCCUUUUGCCUGCUGGGAUUUCUGUAGAUACUGCUAAGUUGGUUGUGGGGGCUUUGCUGAGAGGUUUCUUUCUCACAUAUUUCCUCUUACCAGUCGGCCUUUCAGUGUUAAGAGCAUGCUUUGGAGUUGCUGGUUUUCGAGGCCUGGGUUUGCCUUCUGUAAUCACCUUAGGCCUGUGCUUUUUCCUCCUAGGUUUCUGCUCUGGUGUUUCGCUCAAGUUAAUAACAUGACUUCCUUCCUUCUCUGUCUUUUGGAGUUCGUUAUCUGUUUGUGGCCUGUUAAUGUCAAAUGAUACCAUAGCAACUUGAUCAUCCUGCUCAUUGCCUUCUUGAUUUGCUCUUUCAUCGGCGGAAAAAAAUUGCAGUUGAGCUACUUGCCUGCAUUCUACUCUUGUGCCUUUUUCUGGUGUCAUGGGAGCAAUUUGGCAACUGGUCUUGCUAGUGAAUGUAACUGCUGUUCCCCCGGGAGGUAAGUUGAGGUCAUAAGCAGAUCCUUGAAGAAUGGGAAGACCAUCUGUUGGGUCACCAAAAUAUUUAGAUUAAUCAUAACAUGAUCUAUGAAACUGAAAAUCGUAUCUUGGAAACCGGCUGAAAAAUUGUUUGAACUAGUUGCGUUUAUCUUAAAACACAGAUAAUUCAAAGAAACGAAAUUGUAAUUUUUAUUUUCUGAAUGCACAUCAGGAAACUAUCAUGCACUUUAUUCUUCAUAUAAUAUGUAAAGGUAUCAUUUCAAUUGCUUUUUCA
Ricinus communis (castor bean) is the source of this 5847-nucleotide long non-coding RNA. RefSeq lists it as uncharacterized. The record is from RefSeq and is a predicted model, not a curated record. The transcript has 5 exons. Lineage: Eukaryota; Viridiplantae; Streptophyta; Magnoliopsida; Malpighiales; Euphorbiaceae.